UGAGUAAUGUCUGGGAAACUGCCCGAUGGAGGGGGAUAACUACUGGAAACGGUAGCUAAUACCGCAUAACGUCUUCGGACCAAAGUGGGGGACCUUCGGGCCUCACACCAUCGGAUGUGCCCAGAUGGGAUUAGCUAGUAGGUGGGGUAAUGGCUCACCUAGGCGACGAUCCCUAGCUGGUCUGAGAGGAUGACCAGCCACACUGGAACUGAGACACGGUCCAGACUCCUACGGGAGGCAGCAGUGGGGAAUAUUGCACAAUGGGCGCAAGCCUGAUGCAGCCAUGCCGCGUGUAUGAAGAAGGCCUUCGGGUUGUAAAGUACUUUCAGUGGGGAGGAAGGCGUUAAGGUUAAUAACCUUGACGAUUGACGUUACCCGCAGAAGAAGCACCGGCUAACUCCGUGCCAGCAGCCGCGGUAAUACGGAGGGUGCAAGCGUUAAUCGGAAUUACUGGGCGUAAAGCGCACGCAGGCGGUCUGUCGAGUCGGAUGUGAAAUCCCCGGG
Molecule: ribosomal RNA, 504 nt
Filed under: uncultured bacterium
Lineage: Bacteria
Description: bacterial SSU rRNA
Rfam family: Bacterial small subunit ribosomal RNA
Source: RNAcentral